RNAcentral lists this ribosomal RNA (451 nucleotides) under Decapoda sp. RLH-2007. RNAcentral's name for it is "partial 16S ribosomal RNA". It matches the Rfam family "Bacterial large subunit ribosomal RNA", at positions 1856 to 2566 of the family's 2925-position model. The record is from RNAcentral. Lineage: Eukaryota; Metazoa; Arthropoda; Malacostraca; Decapoda.
AGCCUGCCCACUGAGUUUUUAAAGGGCUGCGGUAUUUCUGACCGUGCAAAGGUAGCAUAAUCAAUAGUCUUUUAAUUGGAGGCUGGAAUGAAUGGUUGGACAAAAAGGUAUCUGUCUCAUUUAUUAAAUUUGAAUUUGAUUAUUAUGUGAAAAAGCAUAGAUGUUUUAAAGGGACGAGAAGACCCUAUAAAACUUUAUAUAUAAUUUUUUUUUAGGAGAAAUAAAAUUAAAUUUUAAUUAAAAGUUAGUAUUUAGUUGGGGUGAUUGAGAUAUAAUUAAUUAACUGUCUGUAAUAUUUAAUAAGUAUAAUUAGAUAGUGACCUUAAAUUUUAGGUUAUAAGUUAAAGUUACUUUAGGGAUAACAGCGUAAUAUUUCUUGAGAGUUCAUAUCGAAAGAAGUGUUUGCGACCUCGAUGUUGAAUUAAAAUUUCUUCUAGGGGCAGAGGUUUAG